Molecule: ribosomal RNA, 430 nt
Filed under: uncultured bacterium
Lineage: Bacteria
Description: bacterial SSU rRNA
Rfam family: Bacterial small subunit ribosomal RNA
Source: RNAcentral
UGGGGAAUCUUGCGCAAUGGACGAAAGUCUGACGCAGCCACGCCGCGUGAGUGAAGAAGGCCUUCGGGUUGUAAAGCUCUGUCGAGUGGGACGAAAAUGCUCAGGGUGAAUAGCCAUGAGUACUGACGGUACCAUUAGAGGAAGCACCGGCUAACUCCGUGCCAGCAGCCGCGGUAAUACGGAGGGUGCAAGCGUUGCUCGGAAUUAUUGGGCGUAAAGGGUAGGUAGGUGGUCUUAUUUGUCGCAGGUGAAAGCCUUGAGCUUAACUCAAGAAGGGCCUGCGAAACGGUAAGACUAGAGUUCUAGAGAGGGUCGUGGAAUUCCCGGUGUAGCGGUGAAAUGCGUAGAGAUCGGGAGGAACACCAGAGGCGAAAGCGGCGGCCUGGCUAGAGACUGACACUCAACUACGAAAGCGUGGGGAGCAAACAGG